UACGGAGGAUCCGAGCGUUAUCCGGAUUUAUUGGGUUUAAAGGGUGCGCAGGCGGGGGAUUAAGUCGGCGGUGAAAUUUUGCAGCUCAACUGUAAAAGUGCCUUCGAAACUGGUUUCCUUGAGUGUAGAUGAAGUAGGCGGAAUUUGUGGUGUAGCGGUGAAAUGCAUAGAUAUCACGAGGGACUCCGAUUGCGCAGGCAGCUUACUAAACUACUACUGACGCUCAGGCACGAAGGCGUGGGGAUCAAACAGGAUUAGAUACCCUGGUAGU
This 271-nucleotide ribosomal RNA is filed under the name uncultured prokaryote. RNAcentral describes it as "partial 16S ribosomal RNA". It matches the Rfam family "Bacterial small subunit ribosomal RNA", at positions 524 to 794 of the family's 1533-position model. The record is from RNAcentral.